UACGGGGGGUGCAAGCGUUGUCCGGAAUCACUGGGCGUAAAGGGUGGGUAGGCGGACCUGUAAGCCCGGAGUGCAAUCUGUCUGCUUAACGGACAAUCGGCUUCGGAUACUGCAGGUCUUGAGUCACACAGAGGAAGAUGGAAUUCCUGGUGUAGCGGUGAAAUGUGUAGAUAUCGGGAGGAACACCGGUAGCGAAGGCGGUCUUCUGGGUGUCGACUGACGCUGAGCCGCGAAAGCGUGGGGAGCAAACAGG
This 253-nucleotide ribosomal RNA is filed under the name uncultured prokaryote. Its description in RNAcentral is "partial 16S ribosomal RNA". It matches the Rfam family "Bacterial small subunit ribosomal RNA", at positions 524 to 776 of the family's 1533-position model. The record is from RNAcentral.